GCAGGCGCGAAACCUUUACACUGCACGACAGUGCGAUAGGGGGAUCCCAAGUGCACAGGCAUAGCGCCUGUGCUUUUCGGUACCCUAAGGCGGUACCAGAAUAAGGGCUGGGCAAGACCGGUGCCAGCCGCCGCGGUAAUACCGGCAGCCCAAGUGAUGGCCGAUCUUAUUGGGCCUAAAGCGUCCGUAGCUGGCCGUACAAGUCCAUCGGGAAAUCCACCUGCUCAACAGGUGGGCGCCCGGUAGAAACUGUGCGGCUUGGGACCGGAAGGCGCGACGGGUACGUCCGGGGUAGGAGUGAAAUCCCGUAAUCCUGGACGGACCGCCGAUGGCGAAAGCACGUCGCGAGAACGGAUCCGACAGUGAGGGACGAAAGCCAGGGUCUCGAACCGGAUUAGAUACCCGGGUAGUCCUGGCCGUAAACAAUGUCUGCUAGGUGUGGCUCCCACUACGAGUGGGUGCUGUGCCGUAGGGAAGCCGCUAAGCAGACCGCCUGGGAAGUACGUCCGCAAGGAUGAAACCUAAAGGAAUUGGCGGGGGAGCACUACAACCGGAGGAGCCUGCGGUUUAAUUGGAUUCAACGCCGG
This 587-nucleotide ribosomal RNA is filed under the name uncultured haloarchaeon. RNAcentral describes it as "bacterial SSU rRNA". It matches the Rfam family "Archaeal small subunit ribosomal RNA", at positions 335 to 921 of the family's 1478-position model. Lineage: Archaea; Methanobacteriati; Methanobacteriota; Halobacteria; Halobacteriales; Halobacteriaceae. The record is from RNAcentral.